RNAcentral lists this ribosomal RNA (254 nucleotides) under uncultured bacterium. Its description in RNAcentral is "partial 16S ribosomal RNA". It matches the Rfam family "Bacterial small subunit ribosomal RNA", at positions 524 to 776 of the family's 1533-position model. The record is from RNAcentral.
UACGGGGGGAGCAAGCGUUGUUCGGAUUUACUGGGCGUAAAGGGCGCGUAGGCGGCCACCGCAAGUCGGUUGUGAAAUCUCUGGGCUUAACCCAGAAAGGUCAACCGAUACUGCGGGGCUAGAGUGCAGAAGGGGCAACUGGAAUUCUCGGUGUAGCGGUGAAAUGCGUAGAUAUCUGGAGGAACACCGGUGGCGAAGGCGGCAUCCUGGACCGAUAUUGACGCUGAGGAGCGAAAGCCAGGGGAGCAAACGGG